CAGCGUUUUACAGUGUGGUUAUACUGGGAAAAUACUGCAUUUAACAAUAUAGUUGCACUGGAAAUCAAUGUUUAACAGUGUAGUUGUACUGGAAAAUACUGCAUUUAACAGCAUCAUUGCACUGGAAAAUACUGCACAUAAUAGUGCAGCUGCACUGGAAAAUACUGAAUUUUACAGUGUAGUUGCACUGGAAAAUACUGCAUUUUACAGUGUAGCUGGACUGGAAAAUAUUGCAGUUAACAAUGUAGUUGCACUGGAAAAUCCAGCUUCUAACAGUGUAGUUGCACUGGAAAACACUGCAUGUAACAGUGUAGUUGCACUGGAAAAUACAGCUUCUAACAGUGUAGUUGCACUGGAAAACACUGCAUGUAACAGUGUAGUUGCACUGGAAAAUACAGCUUCUAACAGUGUAGUUGCACUGGAAAACACUGCAUGUAACAGUGUAGUUGGACUGUAAAAUCCAGUGUGCUGCAGCAAAAACAAGCAAACCGUGGAGGAGCUUUAUUUAGUCAGCACCAGAAGGUUAGAGCUGCUCUUUACUUCCAGCUUCCAUGUGCACCAUAUCAGGGUUUCAGUCUGGAGAGGGUCCCUGUUGGUAGCGAGCCGCUAAUGUGCAGCGCUAACCCCUGCCGAGGGCCACUCCACAUGCCUUUAUAAAUAGAGUCCAGGCUCAUCUAUUUACACAGCGAGCACAUCAUCACCUCGCUGCCACCGGCUGCACUCAGCAGGCCUCCAGAAGGAAAAGUCCGGCUGCAGCUGGAACACGGUGACCCACGAUAGACCAAUAGAUCCUUUUACUGCUGCUAGCUGCACAUUACUGGCCUCUCUUCUACCGCAGCUUUCCUCCCAUCUGCUUUAAUUCUCAGGACGCUGCAAUAUAAAUCACUUCUUUCUUCUGUGAAUAUGUGAUGAUAAACCAGAAUAUUGUCUGACCAGUCUGCAGAGGAAUAUUCCAGCAGGAGAAAGUCCAAAGAGCAUCAUCACACAAGAGCUUCUCCACUAGAACAAGGUGGAAACCAGAAUAUACAAAAUGUCUUGAAAUAUGUCCCCAGCUCCCCAUAUUAUGUCUAAGUUCACUCAAAGUUUGUGUGAAUUUAUCCAAAAUGACUCAAAUUUUUCUAAAGAGUUCAAAGUUGUUAUACAUGGUCUAAAAUGAUUCAAAAUGCAUCUUUUAUUGUCUUAGAAAUAUCCAAAGCAAGUUAAAAUAUAUCCAUAAUUCAUUAAAUUUUGUCCAAAUUGGCUCAAAGUUGGUCCAAAAUGAGAUAAAAUAUGUCCAAAGCACCUCACAUUUGAUCCAAAAUUACUUAAACUGG
This is a long non-coding RNA of Amphiprion ocellaris (clown anemonefish), 1313 nucleotides long. NCBI's taxonomy places the organism in Eukaryota, Metazoa, Chordata, Actinopteri, Pomacentridae. The record is from Ensembl.